This 427-nucleotide long non-coding RNA is filed under the name Pan troglodytes (chimpanzee). Its description in RNAcentral is "long non-coding RNA NONPTRT003184". The record is from RNAcentral. Lineage: Eukaryota; Metazoa; Chordata; Mammalia; Primates; Hominidae.
AUGUUUGAUCAGUUAUUUAUUAAACAAAUUAGCUGUGCUUUCUGCUUUGAUCCUGCCUGCUGUGUCUGGCUCCUGCUUCAUUGCUUUUACCUGUGUUGUUUCUCUCUGUCCUAAGGGCACUAGCACCACAAAUAGGAAAGAAAGAUUUGAAAGCCAUUCUUAAAACAGCCAAUCAAAGCUACAAUGAAUACCUGCUUAGGUACUAUUCCAAAUAUGUUGCAUGGAUUAAUUUAUUUAAUCCCAUAGUAUGGAUACUUCUCAUAUGUUACCUCUUUUAAUUUUUAUAAAACAGUGAUAGACUGGAUUAAGAAAAUGUGGCAUAUAUAUACCAUGGAAUACAAUGCAGCCAUAAAAAAUGAUGAGUUCAUGUCCUUUGCAGGGACAUGGAUAAAGCUGGAAACCAUUAUUCUGAGCUGGAAACCAUUAU